CCAGGGAUCCAACCCGGGUCUCCUCCAUUGCAGGUGGAUUCUUUAUCAUCUGAGCCACCAGGGUUAUAUAUAUUUUACAACAAUUAAAUUAAAAAAAAAAACCAACAAUGCAGCAGCAGAAAUGUCCUCUCCCGUGGGAAGCCCUGUUUAUGGCCUCCCUGGCAACAGAUGUCAAUGUCUUCUAGCCUCACUGGCCACACUCCUGUCCAGGGGCCCGUUGCUCAAGGCUCACCUUGCCUUGGCCUUCCUCACCUGUGAGGUAUCCCUGUUAGUGAGUGAGGUGUGUGGAUCUGCUGCUUCAGGUUUCAGGCCUCACCUGGAGCAGACUCUGGGAGCAGAUGUCACAACAAGCCCCAGAACCCCUGGAAAUGGGGCUGGAGAUGGCCUCUGAAGAAGUGGGUGGUUCUCUGAGGAGCCCCCCAAGAGAAUCUUGGUGUCCCGUGGAGGAUGCCAGGGCUGCCUAAGGCUGGGCCAACUCCAAGAAGAGCCUGGCCCAGGCCACCUGCUUGGCUACAGACUGCAGGACUCAGAGAUACACCUGGGCCUCGUCUACAAAGGCCACCACCUUCCCAGCACAAGCCAAGAGGGGCAUGAGACUCCCAGGCUCGGGGCGUGUCCCCUUGGCCAGGCACAGGAUGGGCAUUCCCCACCUCACUUGACACUACAAUAACCCAGUAGGAGGCAGGAUCCUUGAAUUCCUGCCUGGCCCUUGGUUGCUGCCACCCUCUGGACCAAGGGGCUUGAGGGGAUAGGAAGGAGCCUAGGACCUCACCAAUGGGGCUUUUGAGACCUAGAGACCUUGGAGGGGUCUGCCAGAAAUGCUUGGCAUCCACUCCAUAAAUGCUUUAGUGAAACUUCCCUGCUUGAGCUCUUAUAGGUGGGCCCUUAGCAACUGCUGGGCAGAACCCAGAGGAACGGGCAGUACCAGGCACAGUGCUGAUGUUGGAGGGCUUUCUGGGUGCUAGACAUGGUCAGAGAAGCCUGUUUGAAAUACUUCCUAUCACCCACUUUCAGUCCUUUGGGUCCUGAGAGGGUCCUGUGGGAUCCCACAGGAGGGCAACUAAUCCUGUCCAGAGGCUGGGCGAUGGGGUUAUCAGGGAAGUCUUCCUGGAGGAGGUGGCCCCUGAACUGGGUCUUGUAGGACAAGUGGGAAUUGACCAGAAAAGGAAGGCAGAGGAAAAGAUAUUCUUGGAAGCAGAUGCAGAGAGAGAAAAGGUACAGAGCAAAUGGGCUUGGCUUUCAGGGCUCUCUAUUGCCCAGGGUUCCCUCACCCCAACCCAGGCCUCCAGAAGGCUACCUUGCCCAGGGAAGGAACCCACAGCACCCCAACCUCUCCCAUUUCUGUUCUAACUCCUCUCCACCCACACUCCCUUCUUGGGGUCUUGCCAUAGCCCAUGCCCCCAAACCUGAUUUAUCAGGCCCUGUAACAGAAUAAAUUGAUGUCAAGAGGGCCUCUUUCAAGGGACAAUCAUAUUUUCUUUUUUAAAAAGGAAUAUACUUCACUGGUGGUUUCAUUAUCAUUAUUGUAAGAUAGUUUCACUGAAAGAAUUAGGAAACCAGAAAAAUAAAAGAAAGUCUAUAAAAAAAAUCACCUUAACCCCAACAAUCAGAGUGCCUGCUGGUGAUGUAUUGAUGUAUUGACUAUGUACGUAGGUUUAAGGGGGCCUUUCCCACAAAUAGUAUAGUAUGAACUUUCCCCUAUGCAGCUGAAUAUUCUGUCCAAAGAGCAUUUUGAUGGCUAUUUCUUAGUUUAGGACCCCUUCAUCUAUUGCUGGAUAUCUAGAUUUUCUCCUUUGUAAAUGAUGCUGUGAUGAACACCUUGGAGUAAUCGUGCUGUCAGUGGGCGAGCUCACAGGCCUCCAGGAACAGAGCUCCUGAUGGCAGGCAGCAGGCCAUCAGGGCGCCUGGGAACAGAGCUUCCUCAGUGCUAAUGUGAGACAGGGCUCCUGGGGUUUUGUUCAAACUGAUUCUGCUAAGUGGAUCUGGGGUAGGGCCAGAGAUUUUUUACAGUUCUAACAAGUUCCCAGGUGAAGCUGAUACUUGGAGGAAGGCACUUGGAGGGGCAAGUCCUUGAAGUCCUCCCUGAGGCCACUGUGCUCUGGGGAAGGACCUUAAGCCAGACACAACUUUCUCUGCUGUCCUGGGCACCUUGGGAAGCACAGGCCCUUGGGGGUUUGUCUGAGGCUCCCAGGCAUGUUUACAGCCACUCUGCACCCCUGAAAUUGUUCUCCCAGAGCUCUCAGACCCCCUUGGAGGUUCCCAAAGUCUCCACGUGCCAGCAUCAUUCUGGCGCCACGGUCUGUAGUGGGCCGAUGUUGACUGUCAUUGCUCCUCUUCAGCCCCGGGGCCCACAGAAGUACCACAUUUUCCCAUUAGUGAAGUAGGCUGAUGCUAGGUCCCACUUCACGGAUAUACUAAGGUGUUCCACCUGUGGUGAGUAGUUCUCUGCAAAUACUCAGCCUUGGUACUUUCAGUGCUGGGGGCAUCAGGUGGCCAAGGACAGGGUGUAGGCAGAACCACUCGCUCUGACUCUCCCUGUGUUGUUCCCUCACCUCCUGAGUGUCCUCAAGCUCCUCUGUGACCCCUUCCUUUACCUCUCAGCUUCUCAUGAGUGUCCACCGGUGUCCAUGCUGCAGAAGGGGCCAGAGACACAGGGGCCAAGAAAGCAGCCAUGGUCCCCGACCUUCCCAUCUUCAGGAAGGGUGACAAACAGAUGUGAACAAGAAACAAUAACACACAGCCUCGCAGUCUGAAGCUCGGAUGAGGUGGUCAGGGCAGCUGUGCUUUCGAGAGGUCUGUUCAGCUGAGUGUGAAGAAAGACACUUAUAAUCAUAGGAGAGGCUGUGUCAGGGUUGGAUGGGCAGAGCUUUCCAGAUGAGGAAACAGCACAUGCAAAGGCCCUGAGGCAGUCAAAGUUUUGACAUCUUGGGGGAACUGAAAGAUGCCAAGUGGGGUCAACGUGAGGGGAGUGGGGAGAGGAUACAGCCCCCAGAGGUUAGGGGGCUGGGGCCAGGAGUGGAGGGAAGUUCUGUGGGACUAGGCAAGACUCCGGAGGCAGGACAGGCAGGACAUGGCAAUGGCAGGGAAGCCUUAGGAGCACAAAGCUUGGGACUCUACUGUGGAGAGGAAUACACGGGGGACCAAGCAGGAGGCCUGGCUCUCCUGGCUGCAGAGCAGGGGCUUGGGGCAGGCCCAGGAUGGCACCUCCAUUGUUGGGUGUGAGAGGUAAUUGGGGCCCUCCUGGUACCCUGUGGGGCUGAGGCCUCCCUGGAGCCAGGCUGCAGAACAGGCUGAGGGUGAAGGCCUCCCUUCUGAGGGGCUGGGAGGUGGGAGAGGGUCUCCAUCCCCAUCUCACCCUCUGGCUGAUGGAGGACAGAGCCUUCUAUUGGCCAGAAGUGCGGGCGCCUAUGGGGCUGGCUCCCAUGAGCCCAGGUUGGAUGGCCUCGGGUGUGGGGGUGCUGAGUGGUGGCUGGGCCACUUGCUCGUGGUGUCUGGAGGAGGAGCAGUGGCUGGAGACAGUUGGGCAGGGCUUUUGAGAUGCCUUCCUGGUGUGGUUCCUACAGGCCUCCUGACAGUUUCAAAACUCACAAAAUGAUGAGAGAAGUAGAAUUUUUCUGUGCCUAGGCUAUGGUCAAGAGGCCAAAGUCUGCCUGCCAGCAGUCUGGGACGCAACGGGAGUACAAUGUGGAGGUGCGGGGCACAGGCAGUACAGUUGGGAAUGUGCAGAAACUACGAGUGUGUGUGUGUGUGUGUGUGUGUUGUGUGGGGGAGGUGGUCUGGAUGGAAAGUGGCUCCAAUGGGCAAUUCCAGCUGAGUCCCCUGAAAGUUCCAGGGCCAUGAGGGAUGUGUGUUCUCCAAGCCACUUUUCCGGAAGGCAGAUUCUGGUUUGAGCUGUCUGAUUUCCUUUGCAGAGAGCAUUCCCUGCAGCCUGUCUGCAAGGUUAGGAUCCAGGUAGGUGCUGAUGAGUAAGGGAGAGGGAGAGGGGCCACGGAGACCCACCGGAGCUGGCCCCAAACACUGAGAAGGCCUUGCCAAGCCCUGUGCCUGGAUCCCAUCACAGCAGUCUCAGGAGGUAUGCAGCAGUGAAGCCCAGAGACAGCACGUGACUCCCCCAACAUCACACAGCUACAGGAAGACCAGUGGAAAUAAACUCAGCUGCCAAAUUCAAGGACACUCCAUAGACCAGGGGCCCCUAGAAUCUGUGCUCCUUCCCUCCUUCCCUCCCCUUUCUCCUUCCUUCCUCAUUACUCAAGAAACAAAUUAUGUGAACAUCACUACAAGGCCGCCUGUGCCCUCAGAAAUUCCUAACCCCUGAGCGUCUCCUCCUAGAGGCGGGGGCCCUCCGCCUUCAGAAGGCUCGUGGGUAGACUUGUGAGGAGCUAUUUCUAAGGUAGGAAAAGAGAAAGUAGAUCACAGAGCCCUGGGGAAGGACUGUGGUUGGCACAGAAAAUAAGUGAUAACGUCAGCAGGCGGGCGGGCUGGGGGCUCCUCCCCACAGCUGGCAUGGGGGCAUUGCUGGGGCUCCAGGGACUGAGGCGAGGCUUGUCCUGGGAGCACGGUUCCUGAGUGCAUGAGCUCAGACAGGCGCUGCAGAGGGCCAGGGGUCUGCCUGUGGCCCUGGGGCCACACACACUAAUCGAAAUGGGGUAUCUGUCUGUCUGUGGAGCUGAAUGUCUGCCUUACUCAUCCAGGCCCUGAGUCACCUCGUUUCAAAAUGCUGCCCGGUUCCUGGAACAGAGUCGAGCAUCAGUGGGUGGGCGUGAGUCAUUUCUGCCACUGGGACCUGCCUGCAUCUUGAACCUGGUGAGGCACCAGGGGCCCAAAUGGGGUCCUUGGAGGUCCUUUCUGGAGCCAGCGAGACUUGUGAGAGAGAUGUGCAGCUGAACCUGGCCCAGGUCCGGGGGUGGGGAGCAGAGAGGAUUUGUCCCACAUGGUGUGGCAGCGCCACUAUGACUUCCUGCAGAAACCUGAUUUAUUCCCGGUGGCCAAGUUCCCAGCUCAUGGACCACAUCUCCUGUCCCCCUUUAUAGCUAGUGUUGACUAAGAAGACAUGAAAAGAUUUGCUGGGGCCACUCAGCUGGAAAGCACGCUCUUUAGCAUACUGCCUCCUCUGUCUACCCCAGUUUGUUCUGCUUCUUGCCUGGAAUAAAGACUGAUGGCUGAACUCCAACAGCCAUCUUGGAACACAAGGCAACCUUAAAGGUGGAAACUACAUUGAGGUGGCAGAGCAGAAACUGGGAGAAGUCAAGAAUCCCUGAAAAUUUUGAGAAGCUGCCCUAACACUUCUGGAUAGCCACCUCAGGACUUCUUUCGAUGACAGAAAGAAAAACGUCUGUCUUGUUUAAGUCAUUUCCAUGUGCUUUCUGUCUGUGGUAGAAUGAUUAUGAAAAUAGCUGUCUUAUCCUCUCCUUUCCACACAAUGUGAUGUGUCCUUCCAGUUCCUGCCUCAGAGGUGGAGCUGGCUUCCUCACCCUUGGAAUCUGAGUGGGGCUUGUGGCUUGAUUCGGUCAACAGUAUGUGGCAGGGGGACCAUGAAACAGUUGUGAGUUUAGGUCUCGAGGCCUUACAAGCUUCUGCUCACCUUCUUGAAACCCUGCCUCGCUGGUUUUCUGGGGGGUGAGAGACACAUGGCUCUGUCCCCAUCAUUUUCCUAGCUGACCACCACCAGUCCCCAGAUGACCCAUUGCUGAUACCUAACCACCUGGCCAGGACCAGCCUACAACCUGCAAAGACCAGAGGAUCUCCCCACUAAGCCCAACCCACAUUACUGACCUGCAUGACCUUGGGCUAAAUAAGCUGUUGUUAUUUUAAGCCUGUGGGUUUUGGAGUGAUUUGUUAUACAUCAUUAGUUAAAUGAUGCAGUUAUACCCACCACCUUUAACCAUCAAAGAUACAGUGAGAUGUCCAAAAGGCAGCUUUGCCGCCUUUCUGUCACCUCUAAGCCUCCAGGCUACAUCUCCCCCUGCUCCAUUUCUCCUUUCCUUCUCAUCCUUAUCUGUUCUUCUCUGCCCUUCAUCUACUCAUAGCAUCACAGAAUCUCAGUGCUGAGAUGCCCCAUCUCAUUUAGUUUGACUUUCUGUUUGCCCACAAGAGGGAACGUCCCUAGCACAUGUGAUUACACCCCUUUGCAUGUCUUCUACACCUGGGGGCCUAUUGCAGGGCCAGGAACCUUGGGGAAGAGUUGGAAAGAGGUCUGCUCACCUGAGAACCUCACACCAUCUGUGAGCUGGAAGGCACAUGACCAGUAAGAUCUGGCAAGAUCCACUAGGAUUGGCAAGAUGAGCAGAGAAGCCGGAGGUGGGCGAUAGGGAGGGGUGGGGACUGUGGUGAGCUGUGCUGGCUUCUCCGUCGUGGAUGGCUAUUACGCACCUACAGCAGGUAAAUGCCUUGGAGGACUGGAAGAUUCUCAACAGUCACCUAAUUCUGAAAAGUCAGCAACUAGGAUGACUUUUUAAAUGUUAUUUGUGGACCACAGUAUAUCGGCCAAAGCAAAGCUACCUAAGCCUUUAGGUCCUAAGUGUGUGCCUCUGAUCCAGCAUCUGGUCAGCCUCAACCUCCCCAAAAGUACAAGCACCCCAGGCCCAGUGGCUCAAUGGCCCUGACGGCUGACUUCAGUCCCCGAGCCCAGGACUCUGGGCUGAAAGGACUAUAGACCCUCUAGGGGGCCCACCCACAGGCCUGGCGCUUCUCUGACCUGCCUUGGUUAGAGCAGUCCUUGUGAAGAGGUGUCCCUGGCCAUCCACUGCCUCCAUGUUGUUCUCCCCGCUUUCCUCUUGGGAUGUGACCUGGACUUCAGAGCGUCUUACGUCUCCCUUCAGAGCCCAUGUGAAACCUCCCCAAACCCAGAGCGCCCAAAGUUGUGGAGUCAGAUAGACCUGGGUUCCGACUCCAACUCUGGGUCACCUCAGGAUGUUGUGUAACCAUUGGGAUUGAAAUGCAAUUAGGAUGGUGAGCUAGUGUGUCCAGCUGGAUGUGGGGACCCUUGAGCAUUUGCUGAUGGAUGGUAGCUGUCUGGAGAGGUUCAGAAGUUGGGUGUGGGGUGCCUGUCUGGUCACCUUUCCCAGUCCAUGGGCAUCUCCUGGGUUUGUUCAUCAGAACCCUCCCCCACAUCCCAGCCUGCAGACUCUUGCAUCUUCAUGGAGUCAAUCUCACCAUGGGCACCUGUGUGUCUGUGGAUCUGUGUAUGUGUCUGUGUCUCUGUGUGUGUGUGUAUGUCUGUGUGUGUGUCUGUGUGUAUAUUUGUAUGUGCCUGUGUCUCUGU
This is a long non-coding RNA of Bubalus bubalis (water buffalo), 7261 nucleotides long. RefSeq lists it as uncharacterized. The transcript is spliced from 3 exons. Lineage: Eukaryota; Metazoa; Chordata; Mammalia; Artiodactyla; Bovidae. The record is from RefSeq and is a predicted model, not a curated record.